Molecule: RNA transcript, 10290 nt
Organism: Tympanuchus pallidicinctus (lesser prairie-chicken)
Lineage: Eukaryota; Metazoa; Chordata; Aves; Galliformes; Phasianidae
Gene: NEK11
Gene name: NIMA related kinase 11
Exons: 18
Source: RefSeq, a predicted model, not a curated record
CCGAGCGGACGAGGGGGGGAAUGGCUUUAAGCUAAAAGAGGUCUGUGUCGUUGUUAAGGUGGUCUAUAGUAAGUAAAGUUUGGCUGCGUUUCGCCACAAAGUCGCGCUCGUUGGGGCAGCGUACCAGCAGCUCAGCAGGAUUUCCUCUGAACAUCUGUAGAGGAGUGAAAGGAUUUGAAAACUGCAUUCUAGAGAAAUUUGGGUAGAUUCUGUUACACGGAGCAAUGCUGAAAUUUCAAGAAACUGCUAAGCAUGUCAGCAUUUCCAGCUCUAAUUCUGCUUGCUCAGAUGCUGCUAUCGCAAGGAGAUACACUAUUCAGAGGAAACUUGGCAACGGGAGCUUUGGAAGCGUGUAUCUGGUUUCUGACAAGAAAGCAAAACAAGGAGAUGAAUUAAAGGUUCUGAAGGAACUCUCUAUUGGAGACCUAAAGCCUAAUGAAACAGUUGAAGCAAAUCUGGAAGCACAACUACUCUCCAAAUUAGACCAUCCAGCCAUUGUCAAAUUUUAUGCAAGCUUUGUGGAGCGAGAUAGUUUCUGCAUUAUCACUGAGUACUGUGAGGGUGGAGAUCUAGACUAUAAAAUUCAAGAGUACAAAGAAUCUGGGAAAUUAUUCACACAAAGACAAAUAAUAGAGUGGUUUAUACAGUUGUUACUUGGAGUCAACUAUAUGCAUGAAAGGAGAAUACUUCACAGAGACUUGAAAACCAAGAACAUAUUUUUGAAGAAUAAUCUUCUUAAAAUUGGGGACUUUGGAGUUUCUUGUCUUUUGAUGGGUUCUUGUGAUCUGGCAACAACAUUUACCGGGACGCCAUACUACAUGAGUCCAGAGGCACUGAAACACCAAGGAUAUAACACAAAAUCUGAUAUUUGGUCUCUGGGAUGCAUUUUAUAUGAGAUGUGCUGCCUGAACCAUGCAUUUUCUGGACACAAUUUUUUGUCUGUUGUGCUAAAAAUUGUAGAAGGUGAUACACCUUCUCUUCCUGAUAGAUAUCCAAGCAAUCUGAAUGCUGUGCUGAGCAGCAUGUUAAAUAAGAAUCCUUCACUGAGACCAGCAGCAGGAGAGAUCCUAAAAAUCCCUUAUAUUGAUGAGCAGCUAAAGAAUAUACAGUACAAUUUCACAUGUAUGACUGCAAAAGACAAGGGGCUUAACUGGCAGAAAGGAGGUGCUCCCAUUUCUGAUGCUGUGCUGAGGAAAGUUCAUUUGCAAACGCUGCAGCAACUGUCUGAAGUACAGAAAAUGACACCACGGGAACGAAUGAGGCUGAGGAAGUUAAAUGCUGCAGAUGAGAAAGCCAAGAAGUUGAAACAGCUGGCAGAAGAAAAAUAUCAAGAGAAUGUCAAAAGAAUGCAAGAAUUCAGGUCCCGUAAUUUUCAGAAGCUGAAUGUCAAUGUCCUACAUGAAUCCGACAUCCAGAUUUCAGAACCCCUCACUGAUUCUCAGCCGGUCAUGACGUGUGACUCCACAUCCAUAGGAUGUGAUGAACCAAAUGGAAAUGAGAGAUGGAGUCAAUUUACGGACCAUGAAAUCCCUGAAGACCCGCAAAUUGCAGAAGAAUAUUAUAAGGAGGAGUUUGAAUCCUAUUCAGAAGACAGCGAAACAGAGGAUGUGGAAGUGUCACAGACUGUAACAAAGACAAAUCAGGACAGUGAUAUUGAAGCAAUGGUCAAGCAUUUGGAGAGCAUCCUAAAUAAUAGCUCAUUGGGUUCGGCAACUGUCACCAGCAUGGCUCCAGGGGUGCCCCAGGGAUUCAGAGCCCUCAACAACACUAUGGCUGAGACCAAGUUGAACCGCAUGAGGGAAUCUGCCAUCCAGAAGCUGGGAGGAGAGGUAUUUGAGAAGGUAUACACCUAUCUGAAGCAGGCGAGACAGCACAAGACCAGUGAGGAAGAGAUAACGAGACACCUGGAGAAACUGGUUCCUAGAGCAAGUGAUUGCUUUGAGGUGGAUCAGCUCCUCUACUUUGAGGAGCAGCUACAAGAUUCAGAAUCGUAUGUUCAGCUGUAAGAUGUGCAGGUAACAGUUUGGGCUGAGCUGCCUGCUUCAGGCCAGUCAACAAAUCCUGGAGGAGUCUGGAGGAAACUGCUGAGGCUAACUCAGAACAUGCACAGUAGGCAGGCUGUUGGAGAGUCCAGUCUGUGCAGUGAGCAGUGGGUAAGUACAGUAUAGAUUACAAGGGUAGGAAGGAAAACUUACAGAAGGGAGAGUUUAUAAUUAUCGGUGUUCCUUUCACUGCUUAGGGCAUAACGGAAGAGUUCUCUUGGACACUAGCCAGUGGCAAAGCUGCCACUGAAGGCAAUGGUGCAGGAUUAGGCUCCAGCUGUUGUUUAUUCCUGCACUGACUGGCCCUUGUGGCAUUUAAGCACAUCUAUUUUGUACCAUGGCAGAAUACAAAUGUAUAUGGCUAUUCCGCCACAAAUUGUCUUGUUGCCAUUCGUUGUCUAAAGAACUGCAUUUAAUUUGUGUGUCUUUCAAAGGAACUGUGAAAAUAUAGAUCACAUAAUCAGGGAAUGGCUUGGGUUGGAAAGGACGUUAAAGGUCAUCAAGCCCCAACCCAUGCCAUGGGCAUAGCACAGUCACUUCCCACCAGACCAAGCUGCCCAGAGCCCUGUCGUACCUGCUCUUGAAUGUUUCCAGGCAUGGUGCAUCCACAGCUUCUAUGGGCAGCCUGUGCCGGGCCUCACUGCCCUCUGAGUGAGUUUUAUUUCUAAUAUCUAAUUUAAGUCUCCCCUCUUUCAGUUUAAAACCAUUCCCCCUUGUCCUGUCACUAUCUGACCAUGCAGAGUUGGACUCUCUCCUGUUUAUAAGGUUUUUUUUAGUACUGGAAGGCCAUAGUGAGUUAUACUCUCAGCCUUUCUUCUCUGGACUGAACAAGCCCAGCUGCCUCAGCCUUUCUUCAUAAGAGAGGUGCUCCAACCCUCUGAUCCUCUUCAUUGCCCUUCAUACACUCCAGCAGCGUCCUUCUUGUGCUGGGGUACCCAGACCUGGAUGUAAUACUUGGGCAAAGCAGAAGGGGACAAUCCCCUCCCGCUCCCUGCUGGCCACCCCUCUUUGGAUACAGUCCAGGAUACUGUUGGCCUUCUGGGCUGCAAUUGCACACUGUUGUCUCAUGUCAGGCAUGUGUAUAUUCAUCCACGCUUACUCACAUACAUAGAAAUAAGUAUAUAUAUGCAUAGAGAUGGGAAAACAUUUGGCCACAUUGUUGUACAUGUUUAAGUUUACAGAGACAGAGAGAUGAGGCCAGAGCUGUAGAUGACUGUGACAGCUAGGAAUUCUUAUUACAGAUUCUCAAAGUUUUUUAUCACUGUACACAGAACAAUAAAUCAAUUUUCUUUUGCUUGCACACAGAUAAUGGUAUUUUUUUUCAUAUCAUUUAUGUUUCCCUCUUCAUAUGCAUCACUCUUUUGCUGAUUGGAAGUGCAUAUUAUGCUGUGAUAAUAUACUUGUGCAUUCUGAGCUCCUUUGCCUACCUGUGGAACAGUAACAGAUAACAAGUAAUACAAUCUAUAGAAGAAUCUCAAGUGAAUUGUGGAACAGUUUAGUUUUAGCCAUCUAGCCAUUAUCAAAAGCCCUGUGUACUCUGUUUUUUGCCAUAACUCUUCAAGUGCUCAAGAGCUGAAUUAGAUGAAUGAAAGUAAAUUCAUAAUGUGAACUUCAAAAAAAUGUUGCUACUUGACUUGGACUAAAACUAAGGAUACUGGGAUUGACAGUAAAGUAAGGACAAGAACUGAUUCAUCUUUGUGAUGUGCAUGAAGAGAUUCAAAGGGAACAGCAAUUGAUCAUCCUUAUCCAUACCAGCAGUAACACAACCUGCAGAAGAAAAGUGCAUACCCAUCUAAGGAAGAUGUGGCCUUUUACUGCCAGCCCAAAGUAGGAGAUCCUGGUAUGUCUGACUUCAGCUUCUGCUGGGAGUACAUGAAUGUGAAGUGAUAUUCACUGAGGUUGCAAAACUGUUUUUGUCUGUGUGAUGUUUCAUGUCUCAUAGGCAGAGAGAUAGUUUGAAGCACAGAUUCUCAGCCAGACUUCAGUCCCCAUUCUUCUCAAUGCUAUAUUUGUGUCCUUGAUUCCUUGUGUUUUAUACAUAACUUCAAUUAAGGCCACUUAAAUAUCAAAAUAAGAGGAGUGCUUGGAUGUGAAUAAUAUCAGAGAGAUACAACCUUGACUACUACACCCACCUCUGGCUGUGAUUCAGACUGCUUUUUCACAAAAGCUUGAAAACCAAACUCUGUAGCCAUCAAUUGCUUUUAGGCAUGUUUUAUUUGUAUUAAUUUUCAUAUUUGAUUACUCACAAAGCACUCAAACUCUCUGCUUAAUACAUGGAGUGUUUUGAAUACCAUGCUUGCUAAUGUGUUGCAAUGUAAUAGAAUUAUUAAUAUCUGUUUGUGCAAAAUGUAAUGUAUGUAUGGGAGCUGUUUCACAGCCUGAAGCACUGAUUGAUCACCUGAGGCAAGCACUGAGUCAGCCAUGGAGCACAGGUGAAGGCGAUUCAGCUGUGUGAUGGAAGGGGUGGAGCUUGGCUGCACCUCUCCUAGACCCCAUUUAAGGGCUGACUGCCACUGGGGAAGGAUCUCUUUCUGGAGACUCCUCAUCUGUGGACUCUUUCCUGCAAACCUAGAUCUUCAGAUACAGGUGAGCAUUCCUUCCUUUGUUGUUUCUUUUCCUAUUUUCACCACGAUAAUCUUUCCAGUUGUAACACCAACUGUAACACAUACGUAAUAACUAUAUGCACACUUGAAAAGAGUCUUGAAGUCAGUUUGAAGUUGUUGUUUUUGUAGGUUUUUUUUUUAUACUCUUGAAAAGUUUUCAAACCUGAAGACUUAAACAGUAAUUAACAUCUGCAGUGUGCUCAUCUACCACAAGUACUAGCAACGUUCUGAAUCCAAAUACCUAAAUAAGGUAAUCAAGAAAUGGGAAAAAAAAAUCAACAAAAUGACUGUCUCCCAAUAAACCCCUGCCCUUUCCAGGUCACAUCCAUUCCAAAGUUCUCAGCAAACUGUUGAAUUUACAUCAUCCAGAUAGGGGCCAACUCUCAGAGGCAGGUCCAGCCCUGCUAUAACUUUAUACAACUUACUGAAAUUGCCUUCUGUUUUUCUGACUCUUGAACUCUUAGGGAGGGAUAUGCAUCAGUUCAGCUCCAUUCUGAAGCUUGUUAAACCUGUUCCAUACCUGGGUUUUAGGCUGUCUUCACUUAAGGGCCUUUGAGUCCUCUCCUGCACUGUGUAGUUAGUAGCUAUCAGUGGCCAUCUGGUGUGUUAUCCCCAUCACUGCAGAAAUGGGUUUAUUGUGCUUGCUGCAGAAAAGGGCUUAUGUUGAAGAAAAGACUGAGUCCCUGCCUUUUAUAUAUGAAAUGCACUCCAUACACUGAGGUGGAUUUAUUUCUUGUCCACAUCAAAAUGCAGAGACUGCUCCAUUCAUCAGGUCCAUGGCAUACAAAGGAGAUGUUUCUUCUAUCCUAGCAAGGAAAACUGAGAAUCAGAAGCAUUCAGCAAGCAAACAGGAACAGAUGCCUGAAAGAUCUCGUAUCAGCAGAUACAGUAUCAAUAAACCAGUAAGUGGCAAAUGACAGCACUGACAUCUUUCCUAUACGUACUGAAAUACAAGCCCAGCCAAUGAUGACAUCUGACUCUAAGAACGAGUUCAGAAAGGCUCCACUGGGGGCUGGGACAUGAUGAACAUAUGACAGAACAAUGAUAAUAAGCAUCGUGCCCCUUGCCCACAACAAACUUCUCUUCAGAAUAGACAGAUGUCAAUUUGACUCAAUUGGUUUUUAAAAAGAGCUUUGUAAUGCAUAUCUGUCUAUCUCUCUUUCUCUUCUUUAAGUGUAUGUAAACACACAUAAGCAGAUACAAAUGUCUAUUUCUGUCCUCAGGGUGGAAUGGCUUGUAGGUAAAAUACCUGUAAACGAAGCCUCCUCCCAACAGUCCCAAGUAUGCACUGCAGAUGCUGUUGCAAAGGACAGAAGCAUCAGCACCAUUCACCUUGUGUUUUCUUGUCCUUGUAUUCAAGAAAAAAUCUCCCUAUAAUUAGAAAGCAGAAUUAGUACUGAAACAAUUUUCACAUCACUGGUCCUUCAGCCUCCUCAGAUAUUAUUUGUGGUAUCUGCUUUCAUGCAAGAGGAUGGGACCAAAUAAAAGCAAUCACAAGGAUGGAAAUGUUCUCAGCAGGAGGAAAAGGGAUUAUAAAAAAGCAGAGGAAAAUGACUUCUGAAUGUUUUGUAGUCCUGAGCAUCCAUAUGCCAUUUGAGCUAUGUAGAGUGUUAACGGAUAGAUCUAAAAAUAAAGAAUACAUUAUUUAUUAACUUAUCAGAGCUUUUAGAAAAUAGGAGCUGAAUUCACUUAGCUAAUAAGCUACCUCAGAUCACAUCCAUUGGAAGAUAUAUUCACAUGAAUUGGAUGAGGUGUGCAUUUGGUCUUCAUGAGGCCACUUAGGAACCUAAAGUUACUUUUUUCUUCUAGGAAAAAUACACGGAAUAGUUCCAUUUUCGAAUAUUUUAUGAAGUCUAUAUGCUAUUCUAUAUCUGCCCCUUUCCAUGCUCCUCCCUACAUAAGUUUGUGUAAUUCCAGUUUUAUUUCAGAACAAGAUUUGUUUGUAAUCUGAAGGAUGUGAUAUCACAGAGCAGAUUAAAGAAAGAAAAUAUGCUGUUGAGAACAUAGCAUGAAGGCUAUUUACUGGGGGGUCUCAUGAUCUUCCAGCCCUUUAUGAUGAGCAGAACAAGCCAGUGAAUGUACCAGGAUGUAAAGAGUUUACAGUCUUGACAGCCUGGACCUGCUCUCUCAGACCACAUUCCCACACAGCCUGCAUUUAUAUUCAUGUCUCUGUCUAGCUAUGCUGAAUGGAAGGAGAUUAGCAACGUGGGCUAGAGUGCUGUCAUGGUGUCUUGUGCUGCGGUCAGAUGUCUUUUGCAGUCCAAGGAAAGAGCUUUACGGGUUCCUGGAGAGGCCUGGUGUGUCUCCACACUGCUCUGAAGGAUAUAGGCCAGGUUCAGAAGCAAGGCACGGGUCUUGAAUAUUUUCAUAAUUUUUGCAUUAACUAGCAAAGUGAGAACUACUCUUAUUAAAAGUCAUUUCAUCCACAUACAUGGAGGCUACAUCAAAGGCAACAGGAGAUGAGGACUUCAGAGUCUAUGCUGCCUUUUCUGGGCUGUUAGGCUGGAUAAUCCUGGAAAAGGCUUCCCUUUAGUCCAAGGCAAACUCAGAGUAGGAGCCCAGGCCUAGUCUUCCACAGGUACUGAGUAAAGCUCUGCUCUUACCCUUCUCCCAUGCUCCAGCCAUUCAUUUCCCUGACCUGGUGACAAUCAUCCCUGCUCUGCACACCUGGGCCAACUCAGGAUCAACCACUCGCAUGGAGAUGAAGGGCAGAGAAGGAGAAAGGACGUAUCAGAAUUAUGGAGAUCACCUUCUGCAAAGGGAAAAAUCCUUGAUGAAGAAGAAAGGCCAUAAACUACAUAAAAGUUUAUUUAGUGACUAAGGAGGAAGAGAAAAAACAUAUAUAUUCUCUACAGCUCUUACUUUCAAUACAUGCAUUGCAUAUUAUUUAUUUACAUAAUUAUCCAUUGGUAUAGCUUUUUUUACAACUUCACUUGGAAAACUAUGCUGUGCCUUGGCCUAAGCAUCCAGUCUGAAUGCAGAAGUGCCAUCUGGGUGCCUAGAAAUAAUUUCUGAUGCCAUUGGUCAAUUUUAAUUGUAUUUGACAGGCUGAAGUUUGAGAGAGGAAGUUUCUUCCAGUUAUUUCAAGCAAACAGUGGGUAGGUACAACAAACACCAGUGGCUGUUCCAGGCUGAAAGCUAAACUCAGCCUUGGAGAAAAGGAGAGGGCUUUACCUCUUAGUGUAGGCUUUAUGUUUUUUGUGAUGCAUAGAAUUACUUAUUGUAUGAUUUGCUUUCAUUAAAUUUUUUCCAGAUGUCCAGAGACUGUAGCAUGCAACGUAAUUGAAAGAACAACCAUUACCUGUGUUUUAAAAAUAAAUCCUUCAAAAAAAUUGGGUUUUGUUUUGAACUCCAAGGUUUUAUUUUUCACAUUCAAAGAUUAAAAAAAAAACCAAAAAAACAAAAAAACACACUUUUUUUCUUGUUCUACCUAUAACAUUAUAUUCCUUCUCAGUUUUGAAAAGGUCAUAUCACCUGAUGUAAUAAUUGCAUGCAGCUGUUAUGUAAUUGUUCCUCAUGUUUCUAUAAAAGGCAGUAAUUGGAAGAGUUUCUUGAAUGUUAUUAUGCAGCAGGUGCCUCCUGGGGACAACAACAAUAGCUAUUCAUCUGGAGGCAACAGUUCCCAUAGGGAGCUUAGGGUUGCCUGUGGGAGACGCCAUGGACCUGGGAAAUUAUGUUCCCCAUCUCCUUGCCGUGCAGACAACAGCAGAGCGUGGGUAGAUGAGCUUUGCCAGCUCCAUCUGUCCCACAGGCUGGGUGAGUCAGCUUGGGAAGCAGCAUGCAUGUGCACACGAUGUCCCUCUUGCCAGGACCAGGAGCAAGGGUUCCACCAGCUAGAGCCUGCAGCCAGCAUCAUUCAGUUCUUCUUUCAUAUCACCCUGGGACCCAAAUUUUCCUGGGACCCUGGGUGGGGGAAGAAUGAAAGAUGUGGGGCUCUCCAUCCCUGCUUCCUAGAAGAUUCACGUUGGGAAUAACUAGCAAUACGUGACCUUCCUUUGCGUGUCCUGCCACCGACUGCAAAACCCACUUUUCAAGCCCACAGUACUGUAGUUCAGUCUUCUCCCUCCAGAUUUACUUAGGAGUGAUGAAGUAACACCUACUAUUUACAUAUCACACUUAGAUUAGAUUCAGAUUUCAAGGCCAGGCUGGAUGGGGCUUUGAGCAACCUGAUCUAGAGGGAUGUAUCUCUGCCUAUAGCAGAAGGGUUGGAAUGAGAUGAGACUUCAGACCUGUACUUUAACAGUCAGUGUUCAUGAGUGUCUGUUCCGAUGGGCUGUAGAGCAGCAUGGUAUUUUUCCUCCAGAUGACUGAAUUGGGUUGCACUGACUUCCAUCACCCAAAGGCUAGCAUGAACAAGGUAACUGAUUUAUACAGGAGCUCCCAAGAGAGUAAAUACCAAAAUAAGUCAUCUGAGGAACUUUCCUGCACCAGAGAACAACCUAAUGCUAACUGCGAUGCCAGAGUAAAUUGCAGCAGUCAUCUGUUACAUUUCAUCCAGCCAUUCUGCUCAGUUUAAUUAACCUUUCGGGAAUUAGCAUUUUGUGGACUUAGGAUACCUGCUCUGAAUUUCUGGCAGCCAUAGCAGCUCCAUCACAGCUGCAGAGUGACUUGUCUCAGUCAGAACGAGGUGAUACCCAGCAGUGCCUUUAAGGACAGGUCUCUGAGCAGCAGGAGGAACCAUGGGCAGCACAGAGGGGUUGAGGCAGCCUGUACCUCUGCACGGGCUGCUCCAUGCCCCACCACUCAGAAACUGUUCAUUUCCCACCUCUGUGGGCUGCAGGUUCUUCACUCCUUGCAAAGUCUCCUGGGCACACUUUGUCCUCGUUCACCACUUUGCACUUACUUACAGCCAUUUCCAAGCACCUUUUUAAAGUUGGCAGCUGCUCUGCCCACACUUACCAAUCAAAGACUUGUAUUGUGCCUCUGAAAAACCAUGAGGCAACAAGCCUGCUGCUCACAAGAAAUAGUGCCCGUCACAGGGGAGCACAGCCCACACAGGUGCCCACCGCUGUGCCGUAGGCUGCACCUACCCAUGUUCCUAUAUUCCCACCCUUAUAUCCUGCCUACUGCUUGAGCAAGGCAUUGAAAUAUCCAAGAAAGCAUCUGGCCAGGAAUGAAACAAUCUUGGCUAAGCAAAAUGUGCUUGCAGCUAUCCAAGAGUCAUUUUGGCCUUGGGGUGCAAUACUGCCCAGAUUCCUUGUGUUAUGCUGUUGGAAAUACCUCCACUGAAGGUGCUUCCAGUCCUUCUGAACAUGGCCAUGCUGCCACUCUCUCCCUCUCACCUUUUUUGCCCUACCUAUUUUUCUGUGCCUUUUCCCCUCUUUGCUCGCCUCAGGGUGGCACCUUAGGAAUCUCCAAAAGAGAGUCUGACCUUACUGGGAGAGGAUUGUUUCUCCUGACAUUGUCUUAGCUAAUCUUGUACCAUUAAUCAGUCUCAGACUGUUCUCCAUGUUAAGCAGAUCCUCACUUGCUCUCUUGGGGGCUGAACCCCAUCUCUCUGGGCCUCUCCUUUCCUCCCAUGUGCUGAGAACCAGGCAAGGCAGUGUAGGAGCACCCAAUGCUCUCUGCAACAAAGCAACUUUGACCUCCUACCAUCCACUCCAUGGCAGAUUUUCUCCCUGCCUCUGAGAACAGAAAAAAAAUAA